GAUGAAGAACGUAGUGAAAUGCGAUAAGUAGUGUGAAUUGCAGAAUUCAGUGAAUCAUCGAAUCUUUGAACGCACAUUGCGCCCCUUGGUAUUCCAUGGGGCAUGCCUGUUCGAGCGUCAUUUGUACUCUCAAGCUCUGCUUGGUGUUGGGUGUUUGUCCCGCGUUGCGUGUGGACUCGCCUUAAAGCAAUUGGCAGCCGGCAUAUUGGCCUUGGAACGCAGCACAUUUUGCGAUCCUAGUCAUACUUGUUGGCAUCCAUCAAGCCUAUACAUUAACGCUUGACCUCGGAUCAGGUAGGGAUACCCGCUGAACUUAAGCAUAUCAAUAAGCGGAGGA
This 337-nucleotide unclassified non-coding RNA is filed under the name soil metagenome. Its description in RNAcentral is "partial contains 5.8S ribosomal RNA, internal transcribed spacer 2, and large subunit ribosomal RNA". The stretch from base 1 to 120 matches the Rfam family "5.8S ribosomal RNA", at positions 35 to 154 of the family's 154-position model. The record is from RNAcentral.